GAUGAACGCUGGCGGCGUGCUUAACACAUGCAAGUCGAACGGGAUCCAUCGGGCUUUGCUUGGUGGUGAGAGUGGCGAACGGGUGAGUAAUGCGUGACCGACCUGCCCCAUGCACCGGAAUAGCUCCUGGAAACGGGUGGUAAUGCCGGAUGUUCCAGUUGAUCGCAUGGUCUUCUGGGAAAGCUUUCGCGGUAUGGGAUGGGGUCGCGUCCUAUCAGCUUGACGGCGGGGUAACGGCCCACCGUGGCUUCGACGGGUAGCCGGCCUGAGAGGGCGACCGGCCACAUUGGGACUGAGAUACGGCCCAGACUCCUACGGGAGGCAGCAGUGGGGAAUAUUGCACAAUGGGCGCAAGCCUGAUGCAGCGACGCCGCGUGAGGGAUGGAGGCCUUCGGGUUGUAAACCUCUUUUAUCGGGGAGCAAGCGUGAGUGAG
This 434-nucleotide ribosomal RNA is filed under the name Bifidobacterium longum. RNAcentral's name for it is "bacterial SSU rRNA". It matches the Rfam family "Bacterial small subunit ribosomal RNA", at positions 28 to 460 of the family's 1533-position model. The record is from RNAcentral. Lineage: Bacteria; Bacillati; Actinomycetota; Actinomycetes; Bifidobacteriales; Bifidobacteriaceae.